UAGGAAUCUGGAGACAGGUGCUGCAUGGCUGUCGUCAGCUCGUGCGUGAGAUGUUGGGUUAAGUCCCGUAACGAGCGCAACCCUUGUCCUUAGUUACCAGCACGUUAUGGUGGGCACUCUAAGGAGACUGCCGGUGGCAAACCGGAGGAAGGUGGGGAUGACGUCAAGUCAUCAUGGCCCUUACGGCCUGGGCUACACACGUGCUACAAUGGUCGGUACAAAGGGUUGCCAAGCCGCGAGGUGGAGCUAAUCCCAUAAAACCGAUCGUAGUCCGGAUCGCAGUCUGCAACUCGACUGCGUGAAGUCGGAAUCGCUAGUAAUCGUGAAUCAGAAUGUCACGGUGAAUACGUUCCCGGGCCUU
Molecule: ribosomal RNA, 361 nt
Filed under: uncultured Pseudomonas sp.
Lineage: Bacteria; Pseudomonadati; Pseudomonadota; Gammaproteobacteria; Pseudomonadales; Pseudomonadaceae
Description: bacterial SSU rRNA
Rfam family: Bacterial small subunit ribosomal RNA
Source: RNAcentral